Molecule: non-coding RNA, 82 nt
Filed under: Thalassotalea sp. PP2-459
Lineage: Bacteria; Pseudomonadati; Pseudomonadota; Gammaproteobacteria; Alteromonadales; Colwelliaceae
Also listed under: 1 other name
Description: c-di-GMP-I riboswitch aptamer
Rfam family: c-di-GMP-I riboswitch aptamer
About the family: GEMM was predicted in a large-scale screen for bacterial structured RNA regulatory elements. Genes associated with GEMM are involved in a diverse array of functions, including chemotaxis regulation, signal transduction, secretion and chitin.
Source: Rfam by way of RNAcentral
AGCUAGAAACGGCAAGAUACUUGAAAGGGUAUUACGCAAAGCUACCAGUCUACGGAUUUUCUAUGACAGUGGAGCUACCUAA